GUAAUAUAUAGAUAACGUGCCUCUUAGUCUGGGAUAGCCAUUGGAAACGAUGAUUAAUACCGGAUACUCCUUCUAACUCUAAUGUUAGUCGGGAAAGUUUUUCGCUAAGAGAUCGGUCUAUAUCCCAUCAGUUAGUUGGUAAGGUAACGGCUUACCAAGGCAAUGACACAUAGCGGGUUUGAGAGGAUGAUCCGCCACACUGGUACUGAGACACGGACCAGACUCCUACGGGAGGCAGCAGUGAGGAAUAUUGCACAAUGGGGGAAACCCUGAUGCAGCAACGCCGCGUGGAGGAUGACGCAUUUCGGUGUGUAAACUCCUUUUAUAAGAGAAGAAAAUGACGGUAUCUUAUGAAUAAGUCCCGGCUAACUCCGUGCCAGCAGCCGCGGUAAUACGGAGGGGACAAGCGUUAUUCGGAAUCACUGGGCGUAAAGGACGCGUAGGCGGGUUAUUAAGUCGGGUGUGAAAUCCAAUGGCUCAACCAUUGAACUGCAUUCGAAACUGGUGACCUAGAGUAUGGAAGGGGCAGGUGGAAUUAGUGGUGUAGGGGUAAAAUCCGUAGAUAUCACUAGGAAUACCGAAAGCGAAGGCGACCUGCUGGGACAUUACUGACGCUGAGGCGUGAAAGCGUGGGGAGCAAACAGGAUUAGAUACCCUGGUAGUCCACGCCCUAAACGAUGAAUGCUAGUCGUCGGGGAGCUUGUCUCUUCGGUGAUGCACUUAACAGAUUAAGCAUUCCGCCUGGGGAGUACGGUCGCAAGAUUAAAGCUCAAAGGAAUAGACGGGGACCCGCACAAGUGGUGGAGCAUGUGGUUUAAUUCGAAGAUACGCGAAGAACCUUACCUAGCCUUGACAUUGAUAGAAUACCCUAGAGAUAGAGUAGUGCCUUUCGGGGAACUUGAGAACAGGUGCUGCACGGCUGUCGUCAGCUCGUGUCGUGAGAUGUUGGGUUAAGUCCCGCAACGAGCGC
Molecule: ribosomal RNA, 970 nt
Filed under: uncultured bacterium
Lineage: Bacteria
Description: bacterial SSU rRNA
Rfam family: Bacterial small subunit ribosomal RNA
Source: RNAcentral